RNAcentral lists this small RNA (182 nucleotides) under Nocardioides cavernae. Its description in RNAcentral is "Actinobacteria sRNA Ms_IGR-5". It matches the Rfam family "Actinobacteria sRNA Ms_IGR-5". The record is from Rfam by way of RNAcentral. Lineage: Bacteria; Bacillati; Actinomycetota; Actinomycetes; Propionibacteriales; Nocardioidaceae.
ACACAGAAGGGAGGUGAUCCGAAGAAUGAGUUCUUUUCGGAUGAGUGAGGUGGCUGCCCGCUAGGCAGCCCGGUCCGCCGACAGCUGCCGGCGAAUCCACUGCAGCCACCCGACCCGCAGGCUCCCGGAGUUCAUCCGCCGGGGCCCCUCUCCGAGGGGCAGCAGCCUGCGGGUCGCUGCAU